Molecule: ribosomal RNA, 983 nt
Filed under: Ascidiella aspersa
Lineage: Eukaryota; Metazoa; Chordata; Ascidiacea; Phlebobranchia; Ascidiidae
Description: SSU rRNA
Rfam family: Eukaryotic small subunit ribosomal RNA
Source: RNAcentral
GUUGUUGCGGUUAAAAAGCUCGUAGUUGGAUUUUGGGCGCAGGCGGCCGGUCCGUCGCAAGGCGUGUACUGGCCGUCCUGGCCUCACCUCCGGUUCUCCGCCGGUGCCCUUGACUGAGUGUCGGCGGCGGCCGGAACGUUUACUUUGAAAAAAUUAGAGUGUUCAAAGCAGGCGAUUCGCCUGAAUAAUGGUGCAUGGAAUAAUGGAAUAGGACCUCGGUUCUAUUUUGUUGGUUUUCGGAGCGCGAGGUAAUGAUUAAGAGGGACAGACGGGGGCAUUCGUACUGUGCCGUUAGAGGUGAAAUUCUUGGAUCGGCGCAAGACGAACGACUGCGAAAGCAUUUGCCAAGAAUGUUUUCUUUAAUCAAGAGCGAAAGUCAGAGGUUCGAAGACGAUCAGAUACCGUCCUAGUUCUGACUAUAAACGAUGCCAACUAGCGAUCGGGGGGCGUUAGUUUUACGACCUCUCCGGCAGCUUGCGGGAAACCAAAGUCUUUGGGUUCCGGGGGAAGUAUGGUUGCAAAGCUGAAACUUAAAGGAAUUGACGGAAGGGCACCACCAGGAGUGGAGCCUGCGGCUUAAUUUGACUCAACACGGGAAAUCUCACCCGGCCCGGACACAGUGAGGAUUGACAGAUUGAGAGCUCUUUCUUGAUUCUGUGGGUGGUGGUGCAUGGCCGUUCUUAGUUGGUGGAGCGAUUUGUCUGGUUAAUUCCGAUAACGAACGAGACUCUGGCUUGCUAACUAGUUACGCGACCCAAUCGGUCGGCGUCUAACUUCUUAGAGGGACUAGUGGCGUUUAGCCACACGAGAUUGAGCAAUAACAGGUCUGUGAUGCCCUUAGAUGUUCGGGGCCGCACGCGCGCUACACUGACCGGAUCAGCAUGUGCUCGCCUUGGCCGACAGGUCUGGGUAACCCGCUGAACCCCGGUCGUGCUAGGGAUAGGGAAUUGCAAUUAUUUCCCUUGAACGAGGAAUUCCCAGUA